Molecule: ribosomal RNA, 275 nt
Filed under: uncultured bacterium
Lineage: Bacteria
Description: partial 16S ribosomal RNA
Rfam family: Bacterial small subunit ribosomal RNA
Source: RNAcentral
AUACCGAGGUGGCAAGCGUUGUUCGGAAUUAUUGGGCGUAAAGAGCACGUAGGUGGAUUUGUUAGUCAGAUGUGAAAGCCUUUUGUUCAACGGAAGAAUUGCAUCUGAAACUACAAACCUUGAGUAUAGGAGGGGAGAGUGGAACUUCUGGUGGAGCGGUGAAAUGCGUAGAUAUCAGAAGGAACGCCGGCGGCGAAAGCGACUCUCUGGCCUAUAACUGACACUGAGUGUGCGAAAGCUAGGGGAGCAAACGGAAUUAGAUACCCCAGUAGUCC